AGUUUGAUCCUGGCUCAGGAUGAACGCUGGCGGCGUGCUUAACACAUGCAAGUCGAGCGAAGCACUUAUGCGGAAGUUUUCGGAUGGAAGCGUAAUUGACUGAGCGGCGGACGGGUGAGUAACGCGUGGGGAACCUGCCUCAUACAGGGGAAUAACAGUUAGAAAUGACUGCUAAUGCCGCAUAAGCGCACACUGUGGCAUCACAGGGUGUGAAAAACUCCGGUGGUAUGAGAUGGCCCCGCGUCUGAUUAGGCAGUUGGCGGGGUAACGGCCCACCAAACCGACGAUCAGUAGCCGACCUGAGAGGGUGACCGGCCACAUUGGGACUGAGACACGGCCCAAACUCCUACGGGAGGCAGCAGUGGGGAAUAUUGCACAAUGGGGGAAACCCUGAUGCAGCGACGCCGCGUGGGUGACGAAGUAUUUCGGUAUGUAAAGCCCUAUCAGCAGGGAAGAAGAUGACAGUACCUGACCAAGAAGCCCCGGCUAACUACGUG
Molecule: ribosomal RNA, 497 nt
Filed under: uncultured Lachnospiraceae bacterium
Lineage: Bacteria; Bacillati; Bacillota; Clostridia; Lachnospirales; Lachnospiraceae
Description: bacterial SSU rRNA
Rfam family: Bacterial small subunit ribosomal RNA
Source: RNAcentral